This 206-nucleotide ribosomal RNA is filed under the name uncultured bacterium. RNAcentral's name for it is "partial 16S ribosomal RNA". It matches the Rfam family "Bacterial small subunit ribosomal RNA", at positions 568 to 774 of the family's 1533-position model. The record is from RNAcentral.
UCCGUAGACUGUAGAAUCAGUUCCUAGUUAAAUAUCAAAGCUUAACUUUGAAACAGCUUCGAAUACUGUUCUACUUGAGUUUUAUACAGAAGAUUAGAAUUUUAUACGGAAGGGUAAAAUCUGUAGAUAUAUAAAGGAAUAUCAGCAGCGAAGGCGAGUCUUUGGUAAAAACUGACGUUGAGGGACGAAAGUAUGGGGAGCAAACG